AGGGAAUAUUAGUAAUGGGCGAAAGCCUGAACUAGCGACACCGCGUGUGCGAAGAAGGCCUUCGGGUUGUAAAGCACUUUUAGAGAGGAUGAGGAAGGACGGUACUCUCUGAAUAAGUCUCGGCUAACUACGUGCCAGCAGCCGCGGUAACACGUAGGAGGCAAACGUUAUCCGGAUUUACUGGGCGUAAAGCGCGUGUAGGUGGUUCUGUAAGUAGGGCGUGAAAGCUCCUGGCUCAACUGGGAGAGGCCGUUCUAAACUGCAGAGCUAGAGGAUGGUAGAGGAAGGUGGAAUUCCGGGUGUAGCGGUGGAAUGCGCAGAUAUCCGGAGGAACACCAGUGGCGAAGGCGGCCUUCUGGACCAUUCCUGACACUCAGACGCGAAAGCUAGGGUAGCAAACG
Molecule: ribosomal RNA, 401 nt
Filed under: uncultured Anaerolineaceae bacterium
Lineage: Bacteria; Bacillati; Chloroflexota; Anaerolineae; Anaerolineales; Anaerolineaceae
Description: bacterial SSU rRNA
Rfam family: Bacterial small subunit ribosomal RNA
Source: RNAcentral